CUAGCCUUGACAUGCAUUAGACCGGACCUGAAAGGGUCCUUUCCUUCGGGACUGGUGCACAGGUGCUGCAUGGCUGUCGUCAGCUUGUGUCGUGAGAUGUUGCGUUAAGUCGCGCAACGAGCGCAACCCCUGUCCUUAGUUGCCAUCAUUAAGUUGGGCACUCUAGGGAGACAAACCCUCUUUGAGGGUGGGAAGGUGGGGAUGACGUCAAGUCAGGAUGGCCCUUACGGCUAGGGCUGCACACGUACUACAAUGCCCGGUACAGAGGGACGCAAUACCGCGAGGUGGAGCAAAUCCUCAAAACCGGGCCCAGUUCAGAUUGUAGUCUGCAACUCGACUACAUGAAGUUGGAAUCGCUAGUAAUGGCGCAUCAGCUACGGCGCCGUGAAUACGUUCCC
Molecule: ribosomal RNA, 398 nt
Filed under: uncultured bacterium
Lineage: Bacteria
Description: bacterial SSU rRNA
Rfam family: Bacterial small subunit ribosomal RNA
Source: RNAcentral